UAACAUUUCUUAACAGGGGUCUUAUAAAUAA
Molecule: non-coding RNA, 31 nt
Filed under: Rattus norvegicus (Norway rat)
Lineage: Eukaryota; Metazoa; Chordata; Mammalia; Rodentia; Muridae
Source: RNAcentral